GGGUUGUGAGGUUAAGCGACUAAGCGUACACGGUGGAUGCCCUGGCAGUCAGAGGCGAUGAAGGACGUGCUAAUCUGCGAUAAGCGUCGGUAAGGUGAUAUGAACCGUUAUAACCGGCGAUUUCCGAAUGGGGAAACCCAGUGUGUUUCGACACACUAUCAUUAACUGAAUCCA
Molecule: ribosomal RNA, 174 nt
Filed under: Escherichia coli
Lineage: Bacteria; Pseudomonadati; Pseudomonadota; Gammaproteobacteria; Enterobacterales; Enterobacteriaceae
Also listed under: 1 other name
Description: partial 23S ribosomal RNA
Rfam family: Bacterial large subunit ribosomal RNA
Source: RNAcentral